Camellia sinensis is the source of this 1857-nucleotide non-coding RNA. The record is from RefSeq and is a predicted model, not a curated record. Lineage: Eukaryota; Viridiplantae; Streptophyta; Magnoliopsida; Ericales; Theaceae.
UCUCUCUCUCUCUCGUGACUGUGAGCACGACAGACGAUGACGUCGAGCGACGGGGUUAAGGAACCUCACUCUUUUGUUUCUCACUUCGUUGGCUUUCCUUCUGCUGCUCUCAUUCCAGUGGCGAAGGAGCUGCUCAGGGACCACCGCAGCCAUUAAUAGCAGGCUCGAAGCUUUCAGCUUCAAGAACAUCGGUCCGCUCAGAUUCACAGAUUGAAGAGACUCUCCGAUUCGCCGGUGUUCCUGGACAUUCUUAUAUUUUGCAAUUGUUUUGUUGAAUCCACAAUGGAAUGCGAAGGUGGUUACAUCUGUGGCGGGAGGAUUUUUCUAGGUAAAUAGUAUUGUUGUACGAAUACAGUUAGGAACACAUAAUCAAACACACAAAAUAUAUCAAUGGACGUGAUUUUACAAGAUUUGUUGUCUGGACCCGCCUCUGAAAUUUUUUGCAUUUUUAGUGUUCAAUUCUGUGAUUGGUUUUUUCUUAGACUUAUUGUUGUUGUACACACGCAUUACAAAGUGUUUAUGGGUUGAGUGUGUAACUUGUGGCAAUUUGGUUUGCUAUCUGAUUUUGAAUCUUGCUGAUCUAAUGCAGACCUUUAUAGCCAUAAAUUGUUAUUGGACAGUUUAAAAAAUCAAUGAAAAAUUUGGUAAUGUCUCCUUCCCCAAUGGAUACAUAUCAAAAUGGACAUAUGAAACAUCUUGAUGGGGGAUACUCACUAUUCAAAAUUGAAGAUACUGAUUUGUGGAAGUUAUUGGACAAGCCGAGAUCUAUUAACAUAGAGAGGAAUCGAUCCUUCGAUGAGAGGUCCUUCAGUGUGAUGUCAAUCUUUUUAUCACCGCCACGCCAUUUAUUCAGAAGUUUUGAAAAUGCCACCUCGCAUGUGUUUGAUCAUAUCGACAAUGUUUAUUCUACAGGUAGAAGAUCUAGAAUUGGUAGCCCUAGAAUAAGUAGAGUUGAGACACAUCCCAUAGUCUUCGAGGCAUGGGAGUCUUUGAGGCAUUCAUUGGUUUAUUUUCGUGGGCAACAAGUUGGGACUAUUGCUGCUGUAGACCAUUCUGUAGAAAACCUCAACUAUGAUCAGAUUUGAAGGUGGUUGAAUCUCCUAUUUUUGUGAUGAGAAUAAUUCCCACAGCUACAGCUGUAUUUAAUGUUUCAAAGUUGAACAUGGAGCGAAACAAUGUUCGUGCUCUGAAUCAAGAUGGAUCUAGUGGCAUUCACCAGGCUUCUCCACAAACACAUCAGAGAUCCUCUUUUGGAAGUCAUGAAAUGCAACCUUUUAAUCAGGGGGAAUUUAGUGCUGUUCCAGGACGAAAACCUGAACCUUGUACUGCUUUUUAUUCUGCUUGCCAGUGCAGGUAACUCAUGUUCAUUGAAUGAUAAAUUUUAGUGAAGGAAUGCAUUUUCAAAAUUUUGGCAUAUUUAUGAAGGGCUGCAGGUUAGGGUUGCCUAAUUGUUAAGUGUUUUUGUAUGGGACACGGGCAUUCAACACACCACAUAUAUCUGAAAUGCACUCAAAGUAUUUGCACAAUCACCAUUCAAUUGCAUUCCUUUUGUAGAACAUUAAAUAUUUGAGAUGGAUAAAGCAUCUUAAAUUAAGUUGUUGGUUAUAGUAAAAUUUUUGUUGAACUUGCAAUUUCUAUGGGUAAAGUGACAUUUUGUUUUUACAUGCUUCAUGUCAUGGUAGAGGUAUUUAAUGUUAAGACAUUUGAAGAGGUGUGAUUAGUCGGACUUUAUCUUUUGUAAGACUAGAACAAUCUCUACAAAUAGUUAGUUUAUUCAUAUGCUUCUAGUGGUGUCUGAAUUAAUUUCUGUUUUUAUUUUUCAGGUUAGAAAUUUCUUGGAGAGAUGCAAAAUAUGGU